GACGUAGGGGGCGAGCGUUGUCCGGAUUUAUUGGGCGUAAAGCGCGCGCAGGCGGCUCGGUAAGUCGGAUGUGAAAACCCGGGGCUCAACCCCGGGCCGUCAUUCGAUACUGCCGAGCUCGAGGCAGGUAGGGGAGAUUGGAAUUCCCGGUGUAGCGGUGAAAUGCGCAGAUAUCGGGAGGAACACCGGUGGCGAAGGCGGAUCUCUGGGCCUGUCCUGACGCUCAGGCGCGAAAGCUGGGGUAGCGAACAGG
This 253-nucleotide ribosomal RNA is filed under the name uncultured bacterium. RNAcentral's name for it is "partial 16S ribosomal RNA". It matches the Rfam family "Bacterial small subunit ribosomal RNA", at positions 524 to 776 of the family's 1533-position model. The record is from RNAcentral.